Molecule: non-coding RNA, 46 nt
Filed under: Trichobilharzia regenti
Lineage: Eukaryota; Metazoa; Platyhelminthes; Trematoda; Strigeidida; Schistosomatidae
Source: RNAcentral
GUACUGAUGAAGAGUCCCAAACUAGGAUGAAACAGCUGUCCAGUAA